This 573-nucleotide ribosomal RNA is filed under the name uncultured bacterium. Its description in RNAcentral is "partial 16S ribosomal RNA". It matches the Rfam family "Bacterial small subunit ribosomal RNA", at positions 355 to 932 of the family's 1533-position model. The record is from RNAcentral.
UGAGGAAUAUUGGUCAAUGGGCGAGAGCCUGAACCAGCCAAGUCGCGUGAAGGAAGACUGCCUUAUGGGUUGUAAACUUCUUUUAUACAGGAAUAAAAAGGCUUACGUGUAGGCCAUUGCAAGUACUGUAUGAAUAAGCAUCGGCUAACUCCGUGCCAGCAGCCGCGGUAAUACGGAGGAUGCGAGCGUUAUCCGGAUUUAUUGGGUUUAAAGGGUGCGCAGGCGGGCUUUUAAGUCAGCGGUGAAAUCUGGACGCUUAACGUCCAAACUGCCGUUGAAACUGGGAGUCUUGAGUAUGGAUGAAGUAGGCGGAAUUCGUUGUGUAGCGGUGACAUGCAUAGAUAUAACGAGGAACUCCGAUUGCGUAGGCAGCUUACUAAGCCAUAACUGACGCUCAUGCACGAAAGCGUGGGGAUCAAACAGGAUUAGAUACCCUGGUAGUCCACGCCGUAAACGAUGAUUACUAGUUGUAUGCGAUAUGAUAGUAUGUGACUAAGCGAAAGCGAUAAGUAAUCCACCUGGGGAGUACGCCGGCAACGGUGAAACUCAAAGGAAUUGACGGGGUCAUAGCUG